CAGCCCCUCAACCCAGAGGUCAAGAUCAAUGCUACUUAGGAAAGGCCAGCCCAUUCCACACCCUCUCACCUCUAGCCCCAGACCCAGGCUGACAGCCCUUCUCUGGCCCAGCAGUCACCUACAGCGACUUCACACAGGCCCUUUGCACAGAUUUUCCAGUUUGGGGCCCUGCAGUUCCAGACAGACUCAUCAUGGCCUGACAGAGCUAGCUCUAACCAGUCAUCCGUACUCCAUGCCCAACGGGGUGCCAGCUCGUCAGAGGGGGCAUCAUAAGAGCUCAUGGAAAGAGAGCCCCCACGUGUGCCUGGAUGUGACACAGCCAUCUCCACGGCUCUCAUAACCGCGUUUCAUCUCCUGCUUGCCGGUAUCGACAAAACCCUCAUCUCAGCCUGCUAAAUGCCUGCCUCAUUUUCCACUCUAUCGACAGACUCCAUUUGACUUAACUGGCCCCCAUCGUGCGGCAAUUGGAAGGCUUCUUGUUGCUUUAAAUGAGGGGGAGGAGCAGGUGCCAGGCCUGGGCUUCUGCAGGCACAGCCCAGGAACAGGGUUUUCCAUCACCACUAGCACCUGGACAGCUGGGAGAGGGGUCGGGACAGGCCUGGGGCCCAGUAGGCGGCACUCUGUCCUCAGCCAUCCUCCUGUCCUGCCAAGAUGAGCAUGCCUUUCUUUGCUGAGGAGACAAGGGAUACAGCUCUCCGGCGACUGACCCUACCCUGCUCUGGCCCGCUUCCUUCUUUGUGACCUCUUUCAAUCCUUCCCCCAAGGCAGAGGCUGCAACUGUCUGAAUAUUCACUCAGCACCACCCACCUCACCCAACCUGCCUCCACUGGCCUUAUAUUUGGACCUCACCCACGCCGCCCCGCCCCCCUCCCUUUACUCACCCUGCACAUCUCUAGACCACGCCCACUUCAUCCUUCACAGCCUGGUCUUACCCUCCUAAAGCUUCCAGGACUGGAAUGAAAUUUGGGGGAUCAUAUUCUGGGGAUAGAACCAUAAACAAAGGAGCCAAUGUUCCAAUGUGGACAGAUGGGUGGACACAUAGACGAGAGGCGUCUGCCCCACAGGUGGAGGGGCGCUGCGGUCGCUGGGGAGGAGUGUGGAUGACUUCAGUGAUGUGAUUCAGAGAUGCCCGGCUGGGAGGGGCACCUGUACAAAGGGAAAGAUGUGGGCAGUGUGGACAGAGCUCCCCAGGUCCAGAGACUAGUGAGUGUAAAGGGCCUGAGGCAGGAGAGGCAGGCACUUUCCAGCAAUGGCAGGGAGUCAGGAUAACCAGAGUGGGCAAGAUGGCAGGGCCUGCCUGGAAUCUUUGGCUCUUAGGCUGGACCACGUAAAUGAGUUCA
RNAcentral lists this long non-coding RNA (1340 nucleotides) under Mus spicilegus (steppe mouse). RNAcentral's name for it is "lncRNA (ENSMSIG00000010811.1)". Lineage: Eukaryota; Metazoa; Chordata; Mammalia; Rodentia; Muridae. The record is from RNAcentral.